AGGACACGCUGGCGGCGUGCCUAAUACAUGCAAGUCGAACGGUCUUUCUAUGGAAGCUUGCUUCCACUGAGAAGAUAGUGGCGAACGGGUGAGUAACACGUGGGUAACCUGCCCAUAAGGAGGGGGAUAACAUCCGGAAACGGGUGCUAAUACCGCAUAGUUUUCUUGAUUGCAUGAUUGAGAAAGGAAAGACGGCCUUUGUGCUGUCGCUUAUGGAUGGACCCGCGGCGUAUUAGUUAGUUGGUGAGGUAACGGCUCACCAAGACGAUGAUACGUAGCCGACCUGAGAGGGUGAUCGGCCACAUUGGGACUGAGACACGGCCCAAACUCCUACGGGAGGCAGCAGUAGGGAAUCUUCCGCAAUGGACGAAAGUCUGACGGAGCAACGCCGCGUGAGUGAAAGAAGGUUUUCGGAUCGUAAAACUCUGUUGUCAGAGAAGAACAAGUUGGAGAGUAACUGCUCCAGCCUUGACGGUAUCUGACCAGAAAGCCACGGCUAACUACGUGCCAGCCGCCGC
This 518-nucleotide ribosomal RNA is filed under the name uncultured bacterium. RNAcentral's name for it is "bacterial SSU rRNA". It matches the Rfam family "Bacterial small subunit ribosomal RNA", at positions 33 to 518 of the family's 1533-position model. The record is from RNAcentral.